CUAAUUUUCAUUUUCCCCACUUGCCUCUCAUUUGUGCGGCGGCUGCAGGCAACCAAGAGAGUGAGGCGGGGGCAGCGCCGCCUCCGCCCGUAGCCAUCCUUCUCCCCAAGCAUCCGCCACUCCCCAACCUUCUCCUCCGUCCACUCCCUCCCAUCCACGGCCAUGGAACGUGAAGGCUUCCUCAACGGCGGUCGUUCAGCCAUUGACUGGUUCGGUAGUGGCACCUCCACCAUGGAGCGCGACCGCACGCGAUCGUUGCGGGAGAAUCGGGGCUCAGGCGGCGACCGGGUUGACGGCGGCAGCAGCAUGGAGCGCAGCCACACGCCGCCGAUGAUGGGGCUGGGCUCAGGCAACGCCACGGCUCCGGACGCAAGCAAUGGAGUUGCACGUCCGCAUGCUGGGCAAGUAUUUUAUAGGUCAGCAUUGAUGAAGCCAGAAGGAGUGAAAGUGGCAACCAUUGAUCCAAUAUAGACAUGAAAACAAUGACAUCUAUUAUAUUUGGAACCAUGGCCGUAUGUUCGGUGGAGGAUUUGAGUGUGGGUAUUGCAACCUGAAAAGCAAAGGAGGUUCAACCCGCUUUAGGCAGCAUCUUAGUUGUUUAUCAGGAGAUGUGAGGCAGUGUCCUAACGUUCCAAGAAACAUACGUGAUGUAAUGAGGAAUAGCUGAGCCUGGGAGCAUAAGAGAGUUUUACUUGACGCAAGACUUAAGGGUGGAAAACAAGUCAAUAUUGAACUCUCCUGUUCGUGUUUUGUGGCUGUCAUGUUUGAACUUUGAAAUGCUUCGGUUGUAUUAGCUGUCGAUUUAAAUUUUUACUUGAGGCAAGACUCUAAUGUGGACUCUUAAUCUGUGUUGUUAAUAUCGUUGGACUGGACUAUUGUUGUGCGGUUGGAGUAUUGGACUAUACAUUCUUUUGA
RNA transcript from Lolium rigidum, 915 nucleotides. RefSeq lists it as uncharacterized. NCBI's taxonomy places the organism in Eukaryota, Viridiplantae, Streptophyta, Magnoliopsida, Poales, Poaceae. The record is from RefSeq and is a predicted model, not a curated record. The transcript has 4 exons.